This 1356-nucleotide ribosomal RNA is filed under the name uncultured bacterium. Its description in RNAcentral is "bacterial SSU rRNA". It matches the Rfam family "Bacterial small subunit ribosomal RNA", at positions 28 to 1381 of the family's 1533-position model. The record is from RNAcentral.
GAUGAACGCUAGCGGGAGGCCUAACACAUGCAAGCCGAGCGGUAUUAUUUCUUUAGCUUGCUAAAGAGAUGAGAGAGCGGCGUACGGGUGCGUAACACGUGUGCAACUUACCUUUAUCAGGGGGAUAGCCUUUAGAAAUGAAGAUUAAUACCCCAUAAUAUAUUAGAUGGCAUCAUUUAGUAUUGAAAAUUACGAUGGAUAGAGAUAGGCACGCGCAAGAUUAGCUAGUUGGUACGGUAACGGCGUACCAAGGCGAUGAUCUUUAGGGGGCCUGAGAGGGUGAUCCCCCACACUGGUACUGAGACACGGACCAGACUCCUACGGGAGGCAGCAGUGAGGAAUAUUGGACAAUGGGUGAGAGCCUGAUCCAGCCAUCCCGUGUGAAGGAUUAAGGACCUAUGGUUUCGUAAACUUCUUUUAUAUAGGAAUAAACCUACCCUCGUGAGGGUAGCUGAAGGUACUAUAUGAAUAAGCACCGGCUAACUCCGUGCCAGCAGCCGCGGUAAUACGGAGGGUGCGAGCGUUAUCCGGAUUUAUUGGGUUUAAAGGGUCCGUAGGCGGGCUAAUAAGUCAGUAGUGAAAUCUUGUCGCUUAACGAUAAAACUGCUAUUGAUACUGUUAGUCUUGAGUGUAUUUGAAGUAGCUGGAAUGAGUAGUGUAGCGGUGAAAUGCAUAGAUAUUACUCAGAACACCAAUUGCGAAGGCAGGUUACUAAGAUACAACUGACGCUGAGGGACGAAAGCGUGGGGAGCGAACAGGAUUAGAUACCCUGGUAGUCCACGCUGUAAACGAUGCUUACUCGUUUUCGGGGAUUUAUUUUCGGAGACUAAGCGAAGGUGAUAAGUAAGCCACCUGGGGAGUACGAUCGCAAGAUUGAAACUCAAAGGAAUUGACGGGGGCCCGCACAAGCGGUGGAUUAUGUGGUUUAAUUCGAUGAUACGCGAGGAACCUUACCAAGACUUAAAUGGGAAUUGACAGUUUUAGAAAUAGGGCUUUCUUCGGACAAUUUUCAAGGUGCUGCAUGGUUGUCGUCAGCUCGUGCCGUGAGGUGUUAGGUUAAGUCCUGCAACGAGCGCAACCCCUGUCACUAGUUGCUAACAUUCAGUUGAGGACUCUAGUGAGACUGCCUACGCAAGUAGAGAGGAAGGUGGGGAUGACGUCAAAUCAUCACGGCCCUUACGUCUUGGGCUACACACGUAAUACAAUGGUAGGUACAGAGGGCAGCUACACUGUGAAGUGAUGCAAAUCUCGAAAGCCUAUCUCAGUUCGGAUUGGAGUCUGCAACUCGACUCUAUGAAGCUGGAAUCGCUAGUAACCGCGCAUCAGCCAUGGCGCGGUGAAUACGUUCCCGGGCCU